GACGAACGCUGGCGGCGUGCCUAAUACAUGCAAGUCGAGCGGGCCUCCGGAGGUGCUUGCACCUCCGGGAGGCCAGCGGCGGACGGGUGAGUAACACGUGGGCAACCUGCCUUUGAGGCCGGGAUAACACCGGGAAACCGGUGCUAAUACCGGAUACGUCCUCUUUCGCGCCUGCGAGAGGGGAGAAAGACGGUCUUUAAGGCCGUCGCUCAAAGAGGGGCCCGCGGCGCAUUAGCUGGUUGGUGGGGUAAGGGCCUACCAAGGCGACGAUGCGUUGCCGACCUGAGAGGGUGAUCGGCCACACUGGGGCUGGGACACGGCCCAGACUCCUGCGGGAGGCAGCAGUAGGGAAUCAUCCGCAAUGGGCGAAAGCCUGACGGUGCAACGCCGCGUGAGUGAGGAAGGUUUUCGGAUCGUAAAGCUCUGUUGUGAGGGAAGAACAGCUUCCGGAGGAAAUGCCGGAGGUUUGCCGGUACCUCACCAGAAAGCCCCGGCUAACUACGUGCCAGCCGCCGCAGUAA
This 521-nucleotide ribosomal RNA is filed under the name uncultured bacterium. RNAcentral's name for it is "partial 16S ribosomal RNA". It matches the Rfam family "Bacterial small subunit ribosomal RNA", at positions 28 to 523 of the family's 1533-position model. The record is from RNAcentral.